GGGUUGUGAGGUUAAGCGACUAAGCGUACACGGUGGAUGCCCUGGCAGUCAGAGGCGAUGAAGGACGUGCUAAUCUGCGAUAAGCGUCGGUAAGGUGAUAUGAACCGUUAUAACCGGCGAUUUCCGAAUGGGGAAACCCAGUGUGUUUCGACACACUAUCAUUAACUGAAUCCAUAGGUUAAUGAGGCGAACCGGGGGAACUGAAACAUCUAAGUACCCCGAGGAAAAGAAAUCAACCGAGAUUCCCCCAGUAGCGGCGAGCGAACGGGGAGCAGCCCAGAGCCUGAAUCAGUGUGUGUGUUAGUGGAAGCGUCUGGAAAGGCGCGCGAUACAGGGUGACAGCCCCGUACACAAAAAUGCACAUGCUGUGAGCUCGAUGAGUAGGGCGGGACACGUGGUAUCCUGUCUGAAUAUGGGGGGACCAUCCUCCAAGGCUAAAUACUCCUGACUGACCGAUAGUGAACCAGUACCGUGAGGGAAAGGCGAAAAGAACCCCGGCGAGGGGAGUGAAAAAGAACCUGAAACCGUGUACGUACAAGCAGUGGGAGCACGCUUAGGCGUGUGACUGCGUACCUUUUGUAUAAUGGGUCAGCGACUUAUAUUCUGUAGCAAGGUUAACCGAAUAGGGGAGCCGAAGGGAAACCGAGUCUUAACUGGGCGUUAAGUUGCAGGGUAUAGACCCGAAACCCGGUGAUCUAGCCAUGGGCAGGUUGAAGGUUGGGUAACACUAACUGGAGGACCGAACCGACUAAUGUUGAAAAAUUAGCGGAUGACUUGUGGCUGGGGGUGAAAGGCCAAUCAAACCGGGAGAUAGCUGGUUCUCCCCGAAAGCUAUUUAGGUAGCGCCUCGUGAAUUCAUCUCCGGGGGUAGAGCACUGUUUCGGCAAGGGGGUCAUCCCGACUUACCAACCCGAUGCAAACUGCGAAUACCGGAGAAUGUUAUCACGGGAGACACACGGCGGGUGCUAACGUCCGUCGUGAAGAGGGAAACAACCCAGACCGCCAGCUAAGGUCCCAAAGUCAUGGUUAAGUGGGAAACGAUGUGGGAAGGCCCAGACAGCCAGGAUGUUGGCUUAGAAGCAGCCAUCAUUUAAAGAAAGCGUAAUAGCUCACUGGUCGAGUCGGCCUGCGCGGAAGAUGUAACGGGGCUAAACCAUGCACCGAAGCUGCGGCAGCGACGCUGAUGCGUUGUUGGGUAGGGGAGCGUUCUGUAAGCCUGCGAAGGUGUGCUGUGAGGCAUGCUGGAGGUAUCAGAAGUGCGAAUGCUGACAUAAGUAACGAUAAAGCGGGUGAAAAGCCCGCUCGCCGGAAGACCAAGGGUUCCUGUCCAACGUUAAUCGGGGCAGGGUGAGUCGACCCCUAAGGCGAGGCCGAAAGGCGUAGUCGAUGGGAAACAGGUUAAUAUUCCUGUACUUGGUGUUACUGCGAAGGGGGGACGGAGAAGGCUAUGUUGGCCGGGCGACGGUUGUCCCGGUUUAAGCGUGUAGGCUGGUUUUCCAGGCAAAUCCGGAAAAUCAAGGCUGAGGCGUGAUGACGAGGCACUACGGUGCUGAAGCAACAAAUGCCCUGCUUCCAGGAAAAGCCUCUAAGCAUCAGGUAACAUCAAAUCGUACCCCAAACCGACACAGGUGGUCAGGUAGAGAAUACCAAGGCGCUUGAGAGAACUCGGGUGAAGGAACUAGGCAAAAUGGUGCCGUAACUUCGGGAGAAGGCACGCUGAUAUGUAGGUGAAGUCCCUUGCGGAUGGAGCUGAAAUCAGUCGAAGAUACCAGCUGGCUGCAACUGUUUAUUAAAAACACAGCACUGUGCAAACACGAAAGUGGACGUAUACGGUGUGACGCCUGCCCGGUGCCGGAAGGUUAAUUGAUGGGGUCAGCGCAAGCGAAGCUCUUGAUCGAAGCCCCGGUAAACGGCGGCCGUAACUAUAACGGUCCUAAGGUAGCGAAAUUCCUUGUCGGGUAAGUUCCGACCUGCACGAAUGGCGUAAUGAUGGCCAGGCUGUCUCCAC
Molecule: ribosomal RNA, 2008 nt
Filed under: Escherichia coli
Lineage: Bacteria; Pseudomonadati; Pseudomonadota; Gammaproteobacteria; Enterobacterales; Enterobacteriaceae
Description: partial 23S ribosomal RNA
Rfam family: Bacterial large subunit ribosomal RNA
Source: RNAcentral